Long non-coding RNA from Poeciliopsis prolifica (blackstripe livebearer), 351 nucleotides. RefSeq lists it as uncharacterized. Lineage: Eukaryota; Metazoa; Chordata; Actinopteri; Cyprinodontiformes; Poeciliidae. The record is from RefSeq and is a predicted model, not a curated record. The transcript is spliced from 3 exons.
GCUCAGAAGAUAACAGUCUGCAGUAGAGUCUUGACGUGCUGACUUCUCUGUCUCUCAAAAACAUUUGAUUCAUAAAAAUAAAACACAAGAGCUUCUCCACACAAAUGGGGACCACUUGGUUUGCAGUUUGGAGUGUUUGGAUCUUCUUGCGGCAGACUGCAGCUGCAGAGGAAUCACCAUCUCAGCCUGGAUUUGAGUCAGAGAUGUUAAUAUUAAAAGUGAGCAAAAAAGCCUUGGAAACUGGCACAGACAAUCAUCAUAUUGGAGACAGUGAUCCAGCUGGUCCUCAGAUCCCCGUCCUGGAUUUCACUAAAUCCAGUCCAGGACUGAAGAGGAGGAAGAGAGACUGGG